AAGCGGACUGCACGCAAAUCCACGGGUGGUAAAGCACCCGGGAAGCAACUGGCUACAAAAGCCUUUUGCAAGAGUGCGCCCUCUACUGGACGGGCGAAUAAGCUUCAUUGUUACAGGCCUCGUAGUGAGGCACGAUUCGCAAACUUCCCUUCCAGCGUCUGGUGUGAGAAAUUGCUCAGGAUUUUAAAACAGAUCUGUGCUUCCAGAGUGCAGCUAUUGGUGCUUUACAGGAGGCAAUUAAGGCCUAACUGGUUGGCCUUUUUGAAGACACCCACCUGUGUGCUAUCCAUGCCAAACGUGUAACAAUUAUGCCAAAAGACAUCCAGCUAGCAUGCCGC
RNAcentral lists this long non-coding RNA (338 nucleotides) under Homo sapiens (human). RNAcentral's name for it is "non-protein coding lnc-RASA1-20:1". Lineage: Eukaryota; Metazoa; Chordata; Mammalia; Primates; Hominidae. The record is from RNAcentral.